UCAACUCAUUUAAUUUCUGGCUACAUUUUUAUGUCAAUUCUAGCCAUUCAUAUUAAUUUUGAUCCUAUUUUGUAAUUUUUAAUUUCAGCCGUUGAUCAAAUUAAAGUUGAUCUGACGAUUGAGAUUAAAUAUUCCCAUUUCUUUCAUUUUAAACAACAAACCUCAACCCUAAUCCCAUUUUUGAACAAAAUCAGUCGCCUCCCUCCACAUUUUCUCUCUCUACUCAGUCUACCGCGACCACCGACGAACUCCUGUCGCUGCCGCCAUCCAAGCCUCACUUGUCUACUGCUUCGCCUCACCACCGACUAGCCGCCGCCGGUGGGUCUCUUUCUUUUCCCCACUGCUCCAACUUUCCAGCCAUGCAGCCGCCACCCUUCACUCACCUUCCUCUCUUCCUCCUCCGCUCCGGCGAACCACGCCGCCAUGUAUCCGGCGACCACCACACCUCCGAUCAGCUUCGCCUCCCAUCAUUGUUGCUUCACCGGAGGUGAUGACCGGUGAAGCUCUAUUAAUGAUAGCAGGACCUCACCAUCGCCACUGCGACGACACAGUAGACAUGCAGCCGGCGACCACCGCCGCUGCGUUGUGUUUAAGCUUCCGUCUCCGUUCCCGAUCUGGCCGGAGCAACUUUUUCGGAGCAACAUUGACCAAAAUAACUGUCAGUUCUAUCUUUACUCUUUCUACUUCAAUUGUUGUAGGAAUUGCCUUUGAUAUGCUAAUUGGUUAUCCCUAGUUAUACAUGUAAACAAAUUCCUUUCUGGUGAAGGUUAAUAGGGAUGUUAAAUUUCUGGCUUUGCAUGACUACUCUUGAUUAUUUUGAUUAGGUUCAUUGAAAUAGUUUGACUGGCCUUCGAUGACCCUUAAUUGGUCAUUGCAUUUGUUUCCUGUUUAGCACAUGGAUCGAUUUUGAUUUUUGUCUACUGCUUAGUGACACCAUUCUUUUCAUGUAUUUGAACUUAUGGUUGUUCAUCUGUGAUAAUCCCCAACUAAUCUCAUGCCUUAUUUACUGAUUUUCAUAUUACAUAAUUUUAUACUCUUAAUCAAUUAUAAGGAAAUGAACCCCUUUCGACGGAGUCUGACUUAAUGAUAUAUGAUUUGCUUGCUGUAGUAAUUUCUUGAUUGAGGGUUUUGAAUAUUUUCUACCUUUUUAUUUUCUUGAUUGAUUGUCUUGCCUUUUUCUUAAUUUAGACAACUUUUCUAUUAAUCUAUUUUUGGCAGUUUCAGCCUAAUUUGUGAUACUAUCUUAAUUCAGUCUAUUAAUUUAUGGGAAAUGACUUGAAAGUGAUUAAGUGUAGAUACUUGAAAUGUGAAUUUUUGUAUUGAAUGUAGUUUAGUUUGGUAACUUGGGAGGUGACUUAGUGACUUGAAGAUGUUGAAAAUGUGAAUUUUUCAUUAUGAAUAUAGUUUAGUUUGGUAACGUUGGAGUUGACUUAGUGACUUGAAAGUGAUUAAGUGUAGGUACUUGAAAUGUCAAUUUUUCAUUUUGAAUUUUGUUAAGCUUGGUAACUUGGGAGGUGACUUAGUGACUUUAAAGUGAUUAAGUGUAGGUACUUGAAAUGUGAAUUUUUAUAUUGAAUGUAGUUUAGUUUGGACUUGGGAGGUGACUUAGUGACUUAAAAAUGUGAAUUUUACUAUAAUUUCCAGAAUAUCAACCUCAUGUGGUUAGUUUACUAUAAUUAAUUAAAAUUGAUUUUAUUAAAUAAAUUAUUAAAUAAAAAACCGACUACUAGUGGUCGAUUUUGUCUUGAAAUUAAUUAAUUAAUUUUCACAAAAGCUUUUGAAAUUUAUUUUUAUCAAAUUUAUUGGUCGCUUUUGUUUAAAAAAAUUUUUGUAUAAAAAAAUAAUAUUGAAUUUUAAAUAUAUAUAUAUUUAAAAAAAACCGACCACAUGUGGUCGGUUUUAAAAAAGCUACCACACUUUUUCCGACCACGCGUUUUGGUCAACUUUGUGGUCGUAAAAGCAGGAAAACCGAUCACAUGUGGUCGGUUUUUCUGUUUUUUUAGUACUGAUGACUGCACUGUUGUGUUUCCUAGAAUUGAUGCUAACGCGGAACAUAAAUUUUGAAGGUGUCAUAUGAUCAUUUUAUAAGUCGGAAUGUUCAACUGACACAAUGAAAACCAAUUUGAGUGUGUAGUUGAGCAUAAUCAAAGUUGUACUUACUUGCCGACUGUGCCAAGUUUGAAUUCCUGUUUAUUCAUGUAUUGUGUCAAUUGUUUCGAUGAUUAACAAAUAAUGGUUGAUGAAACAGUUCAUAUUUGUUAUACAAAAAUAAACAAACUAAACGUCGAUGUCAAGCAACACUAAGGUCAGGAUAAAGCUACUUGCCUUCUGCAAAGCUCCACAACUACAUUAUAUGGUAUUGUUAAAUCAUCCUUAGGUAUGUAGAAAAAUUCUCAUUUUGUGUGUAAUGUCCGAUUUGGUGUGAACGUGUCAUUACCUAUACCUUUUUUUAUUUUUUUAUAGUAGUUCUAUCUAUACCUUAUUUUUUUUGUAAGGUUUAUUCUUCAAAUUGUUGAUUUGUGAUAUUAUUUAAUGACGAAAAGUAAUACUCCUACAAUUUUUUCAAACAUUACAUUUAGUAAAAUGAUAUAGCACCACAGAAACAACACACAAUAUGAAUACAUUAUGAAACCACACGUGAUAACCUUCCAAACAAAGUGUUAGUGUUGGGCUGAAAUUUGUUUUGAUCAGGAUAAAGCGGAGAGCAGGAAUUAGGAGUUUUAAAUUUUGUUCAGGGAUAGCUACUUGCCUGCUUCUGCAAAGCUCAACAACCACAUUCUCCGGCCUAACAGCACGAAUGACCCUUUCAACGUCCACAGCUGAUUCCAUAGAAAGAUGGUACGUUCCAAUCAGCCAAAUGGCCUCUGGUUCCACAAAGUCACUU
Molecule: long non-coding RNA, 2884 nt
Filed under: Capsicum annuum
Lineage: Eukaryota; Viridiplantae; Streptophyta; Magnoliopsida; Solanales; Solanaceae
Description: long non-coding RNA (CANN_LNC004614)
Source: RNAcentral